RNAcentral lists this ribosomal RNA (218 nucleotides) under Enterococcus faecium. RNAcentral's name for it is "partial 16S ribosomal RNA". It matches the Rfam family "Bacterial small subunit ribosomal RNA", at positions 289 to 499 of the family's 1533-position model. Lineage: Bacteria; Bacillati; Bacillota; Bacilli; Lactobacillales; Enterococcaceae. The record is from RNAcentral.
GACCUGAGAGGGUGAUCGGCCACAUUGGGACUGAGACACGGCCCAAACUCCUACGGGAGGCAGCAGUAGGGAAUCUUCGGCAAUGGACGACAGUCUGACCGAGCAACGCCGCGUGAGUGAAGAAGGUGUUCGGAUCGUAAAACUCUGUUGUUAGAGAAGAACAAGGAUGAGAGUAACUGUUCAUCCCUUGACGGUAUCUAACCAGAAAGCCACGGCUA